GAAAAGAUGAAAGAACAUUUAUUUUAUAUGAAAUCCUCCGAAGCAAUUCACUUCAGAAUAAAAUCCACAAACCCCUCUUUGUUCUUCACUUCUUGCUCCUUAAACAAGGAACAAAAAGUGGGGAAAAAAAAAAGAUUGAUAGAUAUUGUGGAUAGAGAUAACUGCAGCACAAACUCAAAAGCAAAUGAUUACAAAAUUAAUCU
Molecule: long non-coding RNA, 203 nt
Filed under: Citrus maxima (pomelo)
Lineage: Eukaryota; Viridiplantae; Streptophyta; Magnoliopsida; Sapindales; Rutaceae
Description: long non-coding RNA (CMAX_LNC002339)
Source: RNAcentral